RNAcentral lists this ribosomal RNA (492 nucleotides) under uncultured bacterium. Its description in RNAcentral is "partial 16S ribosomal RNA". It matches the Rfam family "Bacterial small subunit ribosomal RNA", at positions 29 to 507 of the family's 1533-position model. The record is from RNAcentral.
AGUGAACGCUGGCGGUAGGCCUAACACAUGCAAGUCGAACGGCAGCACAGUAAGAGCUUGCUCCUACGGGUGGCGAGUGGCGGACGGGUGAGGAAUACAUCGGAAUCUACUUUUUCGUGGGGGAUAACGUAGGGAAACUUACGCUAAUACCGCAUACGACCUACGGGUGAAAGCAGGGGAUCUUCGGACCUUGCGCGAUUGAAUGAGCCGAUGUCGGAUUAGCUAGUUGGCGGGGUAAAGGCCCACCAAGGCGACGAUCCGUAGCUGGUCUGGGAGGAUGAUCAGCCACACUGGAACUGAGACACGGUCCAGACUCCUACGGGAGGCAGCAGUGGGGAAUAUUGGACAAUGGGCGCAAGCCUGAUCCAGCCAUACCGCGUGGGUGAAGAAGGCCUUCGGGUUGUAAAGCCCUUUUGUUGGGAAAGAAAAGCAGCAGGUUAAUACCCCGCUGUUCUGACGGUACCCAAAGAAUAAGCACCGGCUAACUUCGUG